GGAUAACCUGCCCUAAGGAAGGGGAUAACCUCGGGAAACUGAGGAUAAUACCCUAUAGGAUACCGAUGCUGGAAUGCCCGGUACCCCAAAGCUCCGGCGCCUUAGGAUGGAUCUGCGGCCGAUUAGGUCGUUGUUGGGGUAACGGCCCAACAAGCCGAUAAUCGGUACGGGUUGUGGGAGCAAGAGCCCGGAGUUGGAUUCUGAGACACGAAUCCAGGCCCUACGGGGCGCAGCAGGCGCGAAAACUUUACAAUGCGGGCAACCGUGAUAAGGGAACCUCGAGUGCCUGCACAUGCAGGCUGUCUGGGUGUCUAAAACACACCCAAAGAAAGGGCCGGGCAAGACCGGUGCCAGCCGCCGCGGUAAUACCGGCGGCUCGAGUGGUGGCCACUUUUAUUGGGCUUAAAGCGUUCGUAGCUGGGUUGUUAAGUCUCUUGGGAAAUCCGGCGGCUUAACCGUCGGGCGUCUAAGAGAUACUGGCAAUCUUGGAACCGGGAGAGGUGAGGGGUACCUCGGGGGUAGGAGUGAAAUCCUGUAAUCCUCGAGGGACCACCUGUGGCGAAGGCGCCUCACCAGAACGGCUUCGACAGUGAGGGACGAAAGCUGGGGGAGCAAACCGGAUUAGAUACCCGGGUAGUCCCAGCCGUAAACGAUGCGCGUUAGGUGUGUCGAUGACCACGAGUCAUCGAGGUGCCGAAGGGAAACCGUGAAACGCGCCGCCUGGGAAGUACGGUCGCAAGGCUGAAACU
This 749-nucleotide ribosomal RNA is filed under the name uncultured archaeon. Its description in RNAcentral is "bacterial SSU rRNA". It matches the Rfam family "Archaeal small subunit ribosomal RNA", at positions 102 to 856 of the family's 1478-position model. The record is from RNAcentral.